UAUUGCAAGCACAAUAUAUUUACUUAGAGUUAGAGUAAAAUUAAGAUAAUAGAUGGCGCAAACGGAUUUUUUUUCUCAACGUUGACAUGUUAGUAUUAUAAUCUGUGACAAUGAUCUGUGACAUUGUCAAGGUGACAGUUGUUAGUUGACAUACGAUUAUAUCUGAUGUUUGGUGGGCAAAGAAUACAAGGUCUUUGUUUGGUGGGGUUUAUUGAUUACGUCUUCAUUUUGUAUUGGCAAAAAUAUAUCUCCAACUCCUGUAAGUAUCUAAUUAGUUACUAAAACUGGAAGAUAAUUAAAAACAUAGCUAAGGUCCUACCUAGAACGCAAUCGUCCCUUAUCAUCCCGGGCGUGUCGUAAACCCGACUGAGGAGAACCUUUAUGAAAGACAAGUCUUUUCUAGCAUGAUGAAACAUUACAUUGGACCACCGGUUAAGCACCUGAGGACUUUGUAUAAAGUGCUUCCAAAUUGGUCUCUGCUUACUCGUGGCUCUGCCCAGCCUAAUCGGGAUUACAGGCGUGAGUAUAAGUAUGUAUGUAGUAGAUACUUUUUUCUGUCACCUAUCUAUGGUACAAAUCAUAAUAUACUGUUUGUUGAAAAAAAGUUAAAUAAGUCUAGUUAGGCAGUGAGCGUGUUGUGAAUUUAAGCCUGUAAUUUAUUUCAGAUCUCUAAAGACGAUGAUAACCAUUAUGAAGAAUGACAUGCAAAGGCUAUUUGAACCACAUAUCAACAAUUUUCUGACCAUGACCAAGUGAUGAAUAUGAUACAAGUCUACCUCAUGAAAGCCACACUACUUUUCAAAGAAAAAUAUUUUCUUUGGAGUUGUAGAUAUUAUAGUGAAAACUUAAUCCUGACUUCUGUUCUGCAUAAAUGAGAAUCGCACUAUGCCAGGUAACAUAAUAUAGCGAGUACCCUGGUUGAGUCAAGAUAAUAUAAAAUAAGUGGAAAGAUAAUGUGGCCCAAGUAGUAAAGGAAAGGAUGUGCAAACAGCCGAAUGUGAAUCUGGCAAUAAUGUGCCUGUUUAAAUGAGUUUUAGUUGAGUACCAAAUAGUUACCUAGGUUUUCCUGGGAAAAACACUG
Pectinophora gossypiella (pink bollworm) is the source of this 1081-nucleotide long non-coding RNA. RefSeq lists it as uncharacterized. The transcript is spliced from 3 exons. The record is from RefSeq and is a predicted model, not a curated record. NCBI's taxonomy places the organism in Eukaryota, Metazoa, Arthropoda, Insecta, Lepidoptera, Gelechiidae.